Molecule: ribosomal RNA, 497 nt
Filed under: uncultured bacterium
Lineage: Bacteria
Description: partial 16S ribosomal RNA
Rfam family: Bacterial small subunit ribosomal RNA
Source: RNAcentral
GAUGAACGCUGGCGGCGUGCCUAAUACAUGCAAGUCGAGCGAACAGACGAGGAGCUUGCUCCUCUGACGUUAGCGGCGGACGGGUGAGUAACACGUGGAUAACCUACCUAUAAGACUGGGAUAACUUCGGGAAACCGGAGCUAAUACCGGAUAAUAUAUCGAACCGCAUGGUUCAAUAGUGAAAGACGGUUUUGCUGUCACUUAUAGAUGGUUCCGCGCCGCAUUAGCUAGUUGGUAAGGUAACGGCUUACCAAGGCAACGAUGCGUAGCCGACCUGAGAGGGUGAUCGGCCACACUGGAACUGAGACACGGUCCAGACUCCUACGGGAGGCAGCAGUAGGGAAUCUUCCGCAAUGGGCGAAAGCCUGACGGAGCAACGCCGCGUGAGUGAUGAAGGUCUUCGGAUCGUAAAACUCUGUUAUUAGGGAAGAACAAAUGUGUAAGUAACUAUGCACGUCUUGACGGUACCUAAUCAGAAAGCCACGGCUAACUACGUG